RNAcentral lists this long non-coding RNA (2248 nucleotides) under Bactrocera latifrons. Its description in RNAcentral is "uncharacterized LOC108976944". Lineage: Eukaryota; Metazoa; Arthropoda; Insecta; Diptera; Tephritidae. The record is from RNAcentral.
ACAGUAUGUCGUAUGAUAGCGGGCCGGUAACACGUUUUUAAGCAAAAGAAAGUAUUGCAUGUAAAAAUUUCUAUAACCUGGUUGUACCACAACGGUUGAAUGUCUCACAUUAUGCUAGCCUAAAACGUUACUUAAGAUAUAUUUAAUUCAACCAGGACAUCACCAAAUUGCACUUAUUUAAAAAGGAAUUUAUAAAUUUAAUUAAAGGAAUAUGUCCUCAAUAUCGCAAAACUUAAUACCUGUGGAAAAAAAGGAGCAGAUUUCUUUAUCCCAAAAGUUAACAAUUCAUGAACAGCAGCAUCAACUGUAUGCUUUGAAAUGGAGUGAAUUCCAAUCAUCUAUAGUUAACUGUUUUCAACGGCUGCGAGAUGAAGAAGACUUUGUGGAUGUAACUAUAUCUUGUGACCAGCGAUCAUUUGCUGCUCAUAGAGUUGUGCUCAGUGCCUGCAGUCCUUACUUUCGUAAAUUGUUGAAAUCAAAUCCCUGCAAACACCCCAUAAUAAUUUUACGAGAUGUGUACUCAGAACACAUGGAAUGUCUUCUAAGUUAACCCUUAUGUUAGUAACCAACUUUACCGACGUCUUUUAGCAACCGGGUACCGGGAACCCACGAGCUGAGUAUUGAAAAGUUUGUUCGUUUUAGUAAAAAAAAAAUAUAAAAAAAUUUUUCCUUCAAAUAUUAAUAGUCGGUGACAUUUCAAUGAAAAAAAAAUAACAACGUAGAAUCCUGAAUUACAUCUGAAACCAAUUUGGGACAACCCAGAUAAUCGGCCGGUUUUUAUUCUUCGGAGCCGAGCAGAUUCCAUUCGAGACAGAAAGAAAAACUCAAGGUUAUUUUUUUGUGUCUAUCGCGCACUAGAUUCGAGCAUUUUUUAGUACGUAACAGAUUUUUGGUGGGAUCAGACUUGUUUCAUUUGGUGCUCUCUUGACAGUGAACAAUUAUCGAGAGCUGACUAGGCUCGGUUAAGUGCAACCGAAAAGAAUGAGUACUUGAGGAAACUAGUUGGAGUACACGACAGUGAUCCGAAUAGGGUUUCUACGAUGACGAAGACUGGAUUCCAGCAAAUAGAGUCAGACAUCAAAAUCAACAAGGUAAAUCAGUGCGUGACAAACCAGAAGAUACAGAAGAAAUCGCUGAAGAGAAUUCAGCAGUAGAAGAAGGAGAAGUUGAGAGUAGCGAGAGUGAGGAUGACGACAAUGAAGUAGAAACAGAAGGAAGAGCUCUAUCUAGGAGUUUUACUGCCCAAGAUAAAACAGUGUAGAACAAAACUUCACCAACUCAGCAUCAGACCACAGCUCAUAAUGUUGUACGNCAGCGGAGUGGGCCUCAUCGCACUGCCGAACGUUGUCAAUUACCGAGACUUUGAAAAAACUACUCACAGUAAUAAAAAAGCUGAAACAAUUUUCCAAGAGUACAAUGCUAACCAUCCAAACUCACAGCAUCAAUGGAAGCCCGUUACGAUACCCGAAAUUUAUUCGUUCUUCGGUAUCUUGAUUUGUACUGGCGCAAACAAUUCGAACACAGAUCAUACAUUUGACAUGCGUUUUCUGCGAUUCGACGAUAGUAUUACUUGAAGUGAACGUAAAAAAGAAGACAAGGCAGUUUCUAAAAAAAUAAACCAUUCUGAUAUCGACAAUGCAUUCAGAUAUAUCAGUUGGUGAUGACGCUAAACAAAAGCCAGAAGUAAUAAAUUUUUAUAAUAAAUAUAAAGUAGAUACAAUGCAUCAAAUGGUGCAGAGAUACACCAGUCAACGACGAUCUUCGCGAUGGGCAAUGGCAAUGUUCUUCAACAUGCUAGAUAUUUCUUCACUUGCGGCAUAUAUAAUUUAUUAUGAAAAUAAUAAAAUUAUUGCCAAAAAAACGAUGGAGCGUCGUCAAUUUAUGCGUAAACUAAGUGAAGAACUUGCAUUGCCGAUUAUUGAAAAUCGCACGGCGAAUCCACAAGUAAUGCGCCACUUCUCCACAAAGAUUGCCGUUGAAAGUAUAUUAGGUCAUACACUGACAGAAACAGUCGUGAUAAAUCCUGGUCCAGAGACUCCAAAAGAUAAAACCGGAAGAAAAAGGUAACAGGAUCUUGUCAUGACUGCAAUGCUUUUCCAAUAAGAAGAUGCUGAAAGACACGGAAGACCUGUACCAACUGUCACCAACCUGUUUGUGACAAGCACCUGUUGUGAACAGCAGUUAAUCGUGUAAAAUGUGUUCAAUGUCCUUAAUUAUAAAAUAACAUUUCUUUAUGUUUUAAUAAAAU